This 30-nucleotide small RNA is filed under the name Bombyx mori (domestic silkworm). Its description in RNAcentral is "ovarian small RNA-29242". Lineage: Eukaryota; Metazoa; Arthropoda; Insecta; Lepidoptera; Bombycidae. The record is from RNAcentral.
UCGUCGCAAGCGAUGGGUUCGACGAGGACU